UGGGGAAUAUUGCGCAAUGGCCGAAAGGCUGACGCAGCGACGCCGCGUGGGGGAUGAAGCAUUUCGGUGUGUAAACCCCUGUUGCCCGGGACGAACAAGCAGAUUUUUCUGCUCUGACGGUACCGGGUGAGGAAGCACCGGCUAACUACGUGCCAGCAGCCGCGGUAAUACGUAGGCAGCAAGCGUUGUUCGGAGUUACUGGGCGUAAAGAGUGCGUAGGCGGUUUUCUAAGUUCGGUGUGAAAUCUCCCGGCUUAACUGGGGGGGUGAGCCGAAGACUGGGAAGCUGGAGUGUGGGAAAGGCAGGCGGAAUUCCUGGUGUAGCAGUGAAAUGCGUAGAGAUGUGGAGGAACACCGAUGGCGAAGGCAGCCCCCUGGGCCUGUACUGACGCUCAUGCACGAAAGCGUGGGGAGCAAACA
This 419-nucleotide ribosomal RNA is filed under the name uncultured bacterium. RNAcentral's name for it is "bacterial SSU rRNA". It matches the Rfam family "Bacterial small subunit ribosomal RNA", at positions 355 to 774 of the family's 1533-position model. The record is from RNAcentral.